CCGUGCCGCCGCCUCUCCUCCAUGCCAAGCAGGAUGCAACCGCAUCGGGCGGGAGGCGAUGGUCACCGCCGGUCGCGGGCGUCGCCGUGCGAAGAGCAGGUGGGGCCGCAUCAGCCUUCGUCUUGGGUCCUACCGUUCCUCCCCAAUCGCCCGCCUCGACGUGUAGAGGGGUCGAAGCUGUGGGGGACGCAACAUUGGCGGCGGGCUUUCGCUGGAGGAGCGCGUCCUGGAGGAGGGUGGCGGCGUUCCAGCGAGAGGCCCUGGGUUGGGAGGAGAGGACGCGGGAGGAGGACGAGAAGGGGUGAGGGCGCUCGACCCCGCCGCCCAGCAACGCCGACGGCCAACAUCUACAGCGACGCCGCUAGGGUUGGGCGACACCUCCAUCGGAGAUCCCUAUCGAAGCUUGCACAGGCUCCGUGUAGCCGCCGCCAGCGCCUCCUCGUUGCUGUGGGCAGUGCCAUCAAGGACAUCUUCCCCAAGCCUGGUCUCCACCAGCAGCGCCCCCUGGCGCUCGCACGGGAACCGGCUGGCACGUCCGUCUUCACCAGGCCAAGAAAGAUUAGGGUUUGGGUGUCCAGGAGAUUCACCGACAGCAGCACCAGCCAUCAUUGUUUUUUAUGGACUCCAUGGCUGUUGUAGGAAUGGAGCAAAAGGGUGAUUUUUUUGGAGGGUCUGAUCGUUGUUGUUCUGCUUGAUUACCACAACAAUAGGGUUGCUCCCUCCUGCAAAGCCAUAUAAUAAAAGGUGAAGAGCGGCGGUAGGGAACCACGCCUACGAGCAUGCUCAUGGUGGUACCUAGAUCCCAGCAAUGCAUGGUUACGGAUGUCCUCAGCCAGAGCUAGGCUUCCUUGUCGAUGACUUGCGAUCUACAGCAUCUGUGCAGGAUUGUUGCUUGGUUGGAUAUAGAAACAAAUGAAGAUGUGGAAAGGAUUCUUGAGGGGAACAGUUCAUCACGGGGCGCUAUUUCCAGGGCCAAAUUGCGGUGUUGGUGUUGCUUCACAGGUUUGGUACAAGAAGUGAGGAUAGGAAGUGGCUUGUUCGGUUGGGUAUGUCUAAACUAAAGGAGUUGUAAGUGACCCUGCAAUAUGUAAUUUUGGCCAUGUCAAGAUUGUCUCAACUAAUGACUGAACUUUAUCUUGUCAUUUUGCAGCUUGGAUUUUCCAUUAAGCUUGGUGAAGUAUAUUAUGUUAGUGGACGAACAGAAUACCAUGGAUGUCUUUGCUACUUUGGAGGCAAUUCUUUUUGUGGGUUCACCUCUUGUGAUUAUCUAUAUGAGACAUGCGUAGUAAGUUUUUUCACACAGUACAGAGCUGCUAUUCAGAACAUCAGGAAGCUUAUGAUUUCCAAUUCUGAGUUAUGAGCUCUCUCACUUUGAAUAGGUAUUUUGGUAGAUCCAAUUGUUACAGAAAAAAAAAGGAUAUUUUGGCAGUAUUUCUUCAGCUCCAUUGAAUAGGUAUGGUUAUUUUAAAAUUUCGCAGUGACAACAAUUUUUGUCCUUUUUAUGGUUAAGAGUAACCUAUUUGUUCACUUUCUUGACAGAGUGAGAAAUUUGAAUUUUUUUCUCGUCAUGUGCUUGAUGAAUUGCUUACAAAUGCAUAAAAGAAAAUAUUAACAGAUCCCAGAUCACCUUAAGUACUUAGUAUGCUUAGACUAUACGGCUACUCUUAAUAACUACUGUUAAGUAGAAGGCCUACAUGUGAUCCUCCUGUUAUAGAAAAGGUGGUUACUACAUCUGUAGCUUUGUGCUUAAUCAUUUAGGCCAGUGCCAUUUUCUUGUGGUUUUGCAUCUUUCUUCUCCCCCUUCUUAAAUUUCAUAGUGAUAAUAUCCAUUGCUCAUGUUAUGUCUAGCAGCAAGGCGUCGGUGUAGGCCUGCAACGGCGGUGACCAGAAGGCGGACCGUGAUUGAUCUUGAGAUUGCCUUGACCCCUGUGUCGUUUCGGCUGCUGAAUAGAAGAGCUCUAUCUUGAGAAUUCAAGGACCCCUGGGUUGAGGAGGACUCGGCCAGGGAAUGCAUUCGUUGCUGGAGUGGCGCUCAUGGACUGCCAGGUUGCAGGUAGCUAAACUUUACUGAUUCAUUCUUCCUCCUUGUAGGAAGCUACUAUUUAACAGGGACACAAGUAACAACAGGAUUCCACAUGUGAAUAAGGAUUGGAACGUGAAUGUCGACGCGAGCUCAAUACACUAUGAUCUGACCAUCUACAACAUCCAACCGUGUUUGACCCUUCCAGGUUCAAUCUGCAGAACAUGCGCGAGAAAAAUAAUCCAGGAAAAAGAAGUGCUUAACAUUGUUCUAACAGCAACUCAGCCAAUUUUACAAUACCUGGCUGGCUCAUCAGAUCCCAAGCAACUCCCCUUCAUUUUAGCCGGGAACAAGGUUUAUGUAGACACUGGAAGAAGACGAGUGGAAAAAAUGAAAGAGAAAAGAGAAUGGGCAAUUAUGACAGAAGCACGGACAUCGUGAAUCAAUGCAUAAGGCAGGUUGUAUCACUUUUCUUGAUCUGGUUGAUGUGUGUACUAUACUGCUGCGUGAAACAACCGGCCAAGGUUCCCUUGUUCCUAUGACUAUUUCUGGAGUCAAGUCUAUGGAUAUCACCGUUGCGGGACACACCGUUGCUAUAGCAGAUACAUGGAGAAUGCAGCUAAUUUGGUGGUCAAGGAUUUGAACUACCGCUGGUUAAUGCAAAUACAAGAAGAGAACGGACAUAUUAGGAGUCAGCUCACAUAUAUCGCUGUUCGGGAACACACCGCUGAUGUAGCAGUUAUUAUCGUGUAUGCAGCACCAUUGUUUUGUGAAACCAAAAUGGAUCCAGAGCAAGGAGAAAUUGUGCUAUUACAUUGAUGAAAUGCUAUAGCACAGGUGGUGAUCUGGAAGCACAUGAUUAGCAAAUUUGUGAAAUUAUCUGAGAUCUUCAACCAUUCCAUGCUGUCUUAUGCAGUGUUGUUGGCUUCAGGUGUUAUUGGACAUAGUUAAAUUUUUGUAGAAUGUACACAUGAAUUCCACCGGCUAUGUUCUGUAAUAUAACUAUUUCAAUAUUAGACUUAGAUGAAACAAUACUUGUUUCUA
Lolium perenne is the source of this 3064-nucleotide non-coding RNA. Lineage: Eukaryota; Viridiplantae; Streptophyta; Magnoliopsida; Poales; Poaceae. The record is from RefSeq and is a predicted model, not a curated record.